AUGCUCUGCCGGAUCAUCAGUCAGGCCACUACGCAUCCAAGCUUGAUCCCCCUCUUCGUAUUUAUUGGAACUGGAGAUACUGGAGUGGCACUGUAUCUUUUGCACCUGGCAUUGAUCAAUCCAGUUGUUAGUUGGGACAGAAAGAAUAACCCAGAACCCUGGAACAAACUGGGUCCCAAUGAUCAAUACAAGUUCUACUCAGUGAAUGGAUUACAGCGAACUGAAGAAAGAAGGUCCAGAUUUCCAAAUGA
This 251-nucleotide long non-coding RNA is filed under the name Homo sapiens (human). RNAcentral's name for it is "non-protein coding lnc-MREG-3:1". Lineage: Eukaryota; Metazoa; Chordata; Mammalia; Primates; Hominidae. The record is from RNAcentral.